Molecule: ribosomal RNA, 253 nt
Filed under: uncultured bacterium
Lineage: Bacteria
Description: partial 16S ribosomal RNA
Rfam family: Bacterial small subunit ribosomal RNA
Source: RNAcentral
UACAGAGGGGGCAAGCGUUAUUCGGAAUUAUUGGGCGUAAAGGGCGCAUAGGCGGCUUUGCAAGUGACGGGUGAAAGCCCUCGGCUUAACCGAGGAACUGCCUGUCAGACUGUAAGGCUUGAGACCGGGAGAGGUGAGUGGAAUUCCCAGUGUAGCGGUGAAAUGCGUAGAUAUUGGGAGGAACACCAGUGGCGAAGGCGGCUCACUGGACCGGAACUGACGCUGAGGCGCGAAAGCGUGGGGAGCAAACAGG